RNAcentral lists this ribosomal RNA (1355 nucleotides) under uncultured bacterium. RNAcentral describes it as "bacterial SSU rRNA". It matches the Rfam family "Bacterial small subunit ribosomal RNA", at positions 28 to 1381 of the family's 1533-position model. The record is from RNAcentral.
AUUGAACUUUGGCGGCAGGCUUAACACAUGCAAGUCGAACGAUGAAACUCUAGCUUGCUAGAGAAGAUUAGUGGCGGACGGGUGAGUAACAUUUAGGAAUCUGCCUAGUAGUGGGGGAUAGCUCGGGGAAACUCGAAUUAAUACCGCAUACGACCUACGGGUGAAAGGGGGCGCAAGCUCUUGCUAUUAGAUGAGCCUAAAUCAGAUUAGCUAGUUGGUGGGGUAAAGGCCCACCAAGGCGACGAUCUGUAACUGGUCUGAGAGGAUGAUCAGUCACACCGGAACUGAGACACGGUCCGGACUCCUACGGGAGGCAGCAGUGGGGAAUAUUGGACAAUGGGGGCAACCCUGAUCCAGCCAUGCCGCGUGUGUGAAGAAGGCCUUUUGGUUGUAAAGCACUUUAAGCAGGGAGGAGAGGCUAAUGGUUAAUACCCAUUAGAUUAGACGUUACCUGCAGAAUAAGCACCGGCUAACUCUGUGCCAGCAGCCGCGGUAAUACAGAGGGUGCGAGCGUUAAUCGGAAUUACUGGGCGUAAAGCGAGUGUAGGUGGCUCAUUAAGUCACAUGUGAAAUCCCCGGGCUUAACCUGGGAACUGCAUGUGAUACUGGUGGUGCUAGAAUAUGUGAGAGGGAAGUAGAAUUCCAGGUGUAGCGGUGAAAUGCGUAGAGAUCUGGAGGAAUACCGAUGGCGAAGGCAGCUUCCUGGCAUAAUAUUGACACUGAGAUUCGAAAGCGUGGGUAGCAAACAGGAUUAGAUACCCUGGUAGUCCACGCCGUAAACGAUGUCUACUAGCCGUUGGGGUCCUUGAGACUUUAGUGGCGCAGUUAACGCGAUAAGUAGACCGCCUGGGGAGUACGGCCGCAAGGUUAAAACUCAAAUGAAUUGACGGGGGCCCGCACAAGCGGUGGAGCAUGUGGUUUAAUUCGAUGCAACGCGAAGAACCUUACCUGGUCUUGACAUAGUGAGAAUCUUUCAGAGAUGAGAGAGUGCCUUCGGGAAUUCACAUACAGGUGCUGCAUGGCUGUCGUCAGCUCGUGUCGUGAGAUGUUGGGUUAAGUCCCGCAACGAGCGCAACCCUUUUCCUUAUUUGCCAGCGGGUUAAGCCGGGAACUUUAAGGAUACUGCCAGUGACAAACUGGAGGAAGGCGGGGACGACGUCAAGUCAUCAUGGCCCUUACGACCAGGGCUACACACGUGCUACAAUGGUAGGUACAGAGGGUUGCUACACAGCGAUGUGAUGCUAAUCUCAAAAAGCCUAUCGUAGUCCGGAUUGGAGUCUGCAACUCGACUCCAUGAAGUCGGAAUCGCUAGUAAUCGCAGAUCAGAAUGCUGCGGUGAAUACGUUCCCGGGCCU